CCCGCUGAACUUAAGCAUAUCAAUAAGCGGAGGAAAAGAAAUUAACAAGGAUUCCCCUAGUAACUGCGAGUGAAGCGGGAAAAGCUCAAAUUUAAAAUCUGGCAGUCUUUUGGCUGUCCGAGUUGUAAUCUAGAGAAGUGCUAUCCGCGCUGGACCGUGUACAAGUCUCCUGGAAUGGAGCGUCAUAGAGGGUGAGAAUCCCGUCUUUGACACGGACUGCCAGGGCUUUGUGAUGUGCUCUCAAAGAGUCGAGUUGUUUGGGAAUGCAGCUCAAAAUGGGUGGUAAAUUCCAUCUAAAGCUAAAUAUUGGCGAGAGACCGAUAGCGAACAAGUACCGUGAGGGAAAGAUGAAAAGAACUUUGGAAAGAGAGUUAAACAGUACGUGAAAUUGCUGAAAGGGAAACGCUUGAAGUCAGUCGCGUUGUCCAGGGAUCAACCUUGCUUUUGCUUGGUGCACUUUCUGGUUGACGGGUCAGCAUCAAUUUUGACCGUUGGAAAAAGAUUAGGGGAAUGUGGCAUCUUAGGAUGUGUUAUAGCCCUUGGUUGCAUACAAUGGUUGGGAUUGAGGAACUCAGCACGCCGCAAGGCCGGGUUUUCAACCACGUACGUGCUUAGGAUGCUGGCAUAAUGGCUUUAAUCGACCCGUCUUGAAACACGG
This 658-nucleotide ribosomal RNA is filed under the name uncultured fungus. Its description in RNAcentral is "eukaryotic LSU rRNA". It matches the Rfam family "Eukaryotic large subunit ribosomal RNA", at positions 24 to 664 of the family's 3401-position model. Lineage: Eukaryota; Fungi. The record is from RNAcentral.